UAAUAAAGGUGAGGGGUAAGGGUGAGGGGUCGGGGUGAGAGGUCAGGGUUCGCUUUGCUGUAAAUGUUGGAAAUAUGAAUGAAUACUGAAGCCAACAUAUUCAGAGGGCGUGAACCCGUUUCUCUCCUUAACUGCCAAUCAAAGGUGUUUAUUUUCACCUGCUGUCAGGAGGUUUCAUCCAUUCAUCUGAAAUGAUUUAUGUUAAAUAAAUGAAGAAGCGCGAGUCCAGGUGUACGAAGAGAUCUGUCCACCAUGUUGAUGCUUCACAGACGGACCGACCUUGGCUUUACUGCAGAGGAGUGAGAGCAGCGAGGUGUAUGAAAGUGUUCAGGAUGAAGAAUAAUGAAGAAGACCUUGGAAAGCUGCUUUUUCUGAGGUAAAGAAUCUUCCUUCAAUAGACGACCGAGUACAACGGGAACAUUAGAGCAAAGAGACUUUACGGUUCUAUCAACAACGAAGCCAUCACCUCUGGAACGUCACUCCACACCAGAAAUGUUGUUCUAACGACACCGAGGUCGACUACGGGGGCGGCAAAAAAAAAGUGCAAUCCCUCGGGUAUGAAGAUGUUUCUCACAUCCAGUUUCAAAGCAGCUGAACACAAAGACAAGUCAAAAAGUUCUCAGACGCAGUGGAUGUUAUCAUUUCACGGGAUGUUUCAAGAAUUAAAUUUCUUGAAAGUAUUCUUUCUAAUAAUCACAUUUUCCAAUGAGUUGUUGGUCAAAUCUGUGGCACAA
Long non-coding RNA from Cynoglossus semilaevis (tongue sole), 734 nucleotides. RefSeq lists it as uncharacterized. The record is from RefSeq and is a predicted model, not a curated record. The transcript is spliced from 3 exons. Lineage: Eukaryota; Metazoa; Chordata; Actinopteri; Pleuronectiformes; Cynoglossidae.